AACAUGAGUCGUUGUGUGGCUCGAAAAGCUUGAUAUCUUUGUGUAACUCCUAGACGCUUUAAUUCGUUGAUAUGAUACGAAAUGUGAAUUGGUGCUAUCGUGAGACAUUCUCCUGCCUUUUAUGUAUGAUUUUUCUGUUAAAAUCUCAUAAACAUUAGAGAAUGUGUCGACGAUGGUAGCCUUUUUCUCAUCAGAGCAACAAUGUAUUUUCUUUACA
Molecule: long non-coding RNA, 217 nt
Organism: Temnothorax curvispinosus
Lineage: Eukaryota; Metazoa; Arthropoda; Insecta; Hymenoptera; Formicidae
Exons: 3
Source: RefSeq, a predicted model, not a curated record